GGUAGAUAGUCCAAUUUUUAGGGGAGGUGCUGCAGAAAUUUCAAUAGAACCUAGACUAGUUUUAAUGAAUGACAUGAUUAAAUAAGUUCAUUUAGAUUAAUUCUAUAACUUGGUACAUAAUAAAUAGAGUGCUCUGAUUAUUUAUUAUCUUUAUUACUCAUUUAAUUAUUUACAUAUUUAUUUAUUUAUUUUAUUAUUGUUAAUACUAUUUAUUUAUUUAUUUGCAUUGAUUUUGGAUGUUUAAUUGUGCAUUGCAUUACGAUGUUUAAUUGAUUAAUAUGUCUGCAUUUGAUUGCAAUGUUUGAUUAAUUGUGUUGUGAUAAUGCUAUGCUUUGUUUGUGUGGAAUUGGGAUGAAGUGGACCACCGUGGGUUUGUGAGGACGGUUUGUGAUAUGGAUCCGAAUAUUAUAUGAUAUUUGACCGUCGGCCGAGAAAAUGGGAGAUCGGCGCCCCCGUGUGCACCUGAUGAUAUGGAU
This 476-nucleotide long non-coding RNA is filed under the name Jatropha curcas. Its description in RNAcentral is "long non-coding RNA (JCUR_LNC002591)". The record is from RNAcentral. Lineage: Eukaryota; Viridiplantae; Streptophyta; Magnoliopsida; Malpighiales; Euphorbiaceae.